CCAAUAGCGUAUAUUAAAGUUGUUGCAGUUAAAAAGCUCGUAGUUGAAUUUCGGGAUUGGCGUGUCGGUCGUGCCUUAAGGGGUAUGAACUGGUGUCGUCGAUUUCUCACCUUCUGGAGAAACGCGAUGCCCUUAAUUGGGUGUCGUGCGGAACCAGGACCUUUACCUUGAAAAAAUUAGAGUGUUUAAAGCAGGCAUUUUUUGCUCGAAUACAUUAGCAUGGAAUAAUAGAAUAGGACGGUUGGUUCUAUUUUGUUGGUUUCUAGGAUCAACGUAAUGAUUAAUAGGGAUAGUUGGGGGGAUUAGUAUUCAAUUGUCAGAGGUGAAAUUCUUGGAUUUAUUGAAGACUAACUACUGCGAAAGCAUUUGCCAAGGAUGUUUUCAUUAAUCAAGAACGAAAGUUAGGGGAUCGAAGACGAUCAGAUACCGUCGUAGUCUUAACCAUAAACUAUGCCGACUAGGAAUCAGACGAUGUUAAUUUUUUAAUGACUCGUUUGGCACCUUACG
RNAcentral lists this ribosomal RNA (507 nucleotides) under uncultured Entrophospora. RNAcentral describes it as "SSU rRNA". It matches the Rfam family "Eukaryotic small subunit ribosomal RNA", at positions 591 to 1092 of the family's 1831-position model. Lineage: Eukaryota; Fungi; Glomeromycota; Glomeromycetes; Entrophosporales; Entrophosporaceae. The record is from RNAcentral.